Long non-coding RNA from Gasterosteus aculeatus aculeatus (three-spined stickleback), 454 nucleotides. The record is from Ensembl. NCBI's taxonomy places the organism in Eukaryota, Metazoa, Chordata, Actinopteri, Perciformes, Gasterosteidae.
GGUGUCUGUCUGCACAGAGUGGCGACAGAGUGCUCCGUGCCCCGUCCCCCUUUUUGCUCUUGGGUCCUCUCAACCGGUGGUAAGUGUUCUCCCUCUCCGUGUUAGACCGAACGAUAUUCUGUGGCUAACGUUAUUGUGGUCACAGGUAGAUGUCUUCCUGCCGUGUGGGUUUUUCUCCCCCCCCUCUCCCUGUGCAGGUUUGACCUGGGAAACAGGGAAUGCUCAUCAGCUGGCUGAAAUCCACCGGGGGUGAUUUUAUGUGACAACACUCAGUUGAUUCGGGCCACUGCUGCUUUGACUGCUGCUUUGACUGCUGCUUUGCAUGCAGCUUUGACUGCUGCUUUGCCUGCAACUGUGACUGCUGCUUUGCCUGCAACUGUGACUGCUGCUUUGCUGAGUAGUUAAUCGUUUAUUUUGUAUUUCUUUUGGUUUGUUCCAUUUAUUUUCUUUAUUU